This is a long non-coding RNA of Mauremys mutica (yellowpond turtle), 4428 nucleotides long. RefSeq lists it as uncharacterized. The transcript has 2 exons. Lineage: Eukaryota; Metazoa; Chordata; Testudines; Geoemydidae. The record is from RefSeq and is a predicted model, not a curated record.
AAAGUGUUCAGUGAACUGGGGCCUUGAGGAAUAUCCUAUUUUUAAACAAGCUGUGUCCUCACAGCACUUACUUCUCUUACUACAGAGUGUUACUAAAAGAGGGAGACAUUGGACAAUCUGAACAGAAAUGUUUUUACCAUCUACCUUCACAAUGAAAAAAGUCACCUGUUCUAUACAGAGAGUCUGAAUGUGUUGUCCCAGAGCUGGGAGAUGCUGCAAAACAUUUCUGUGCUAUAUAAGGCUCUUUAUGACCAACAGUGUGUUGCUGGUACUCAUUAUACAAGCUACCAGCUCCUCAUUUGACAUCUCAACCCACCCUAGCUCUGCUUCCUUCUUUUAUUGUAUCUUUUUCUGUCAAUGCCAUCUCCUCACUCAUUUCCUUUUCCUCUUUUUCACACACACAAGGUGUGAUUGUAUAUUCAUUCCAACACAAUAACAGAGCCACUUUUGAAUUGCUGUUAUUUCUCCCCAAAUAACAAAUACGUUGAACCAAAUUGAAAUGGUUUCUUUUUAAAGAUUUUCCCCAUUUUUUGUUUGCUCACACUGAGUGAAGGUUAUUUGUAAGGAUACUGGACAAUCUGCUCGCUAAAUGUGUAAACUGUUGUAUGUUUAUGGCAUCUCCGUCACCUUCCUCCCUCACAAAAUAAAUCACCUUUAUUACUUUAUCACCUUAGAUAAGCAUGUUCAGCUACGAAUGUACACUAUAUGAAGGGCAUAAUUCUACAAGGAAGCUAAAACUAAAUGUCAGAUAAUCUGCUUUAAAGUCCCAUUGCACUGAUCCCUCUUAAGCAGGCAUCUGAGGAUUCCCUCAGCAAAGGGGAAUCCUUGGCUGGAGUAAACCCAGUCUAUUGAGCUUUAUGUCACCUGUUUCUCACCAAGUUUUGGGUAGGAGUGGUUUAAGGCUGGUGGGGGCACGCUUGGGUGCGGGGGCAGGAUAAUAUGCUCUGGCAAUCAUGGUCCUGUGAAAUGGUCCUUAGAAGACUUUUCCAGCAGCCAUGCUUUACAGCAGUUUCAUGGCUGCUCUAAAUUGUGUCUGUGACCAGCUUUAUCCUUUGGCUAUCCUCAGGAUUGGGGGCUUAGAAAAGGUGAUUUAGAACUACCCGUGUCUUCCUUUGCCAUUGUGCUGUUUAUGAGGUCCGCAAAGCCCAGGAUACAAUCCUAAAUUUAAGAAGGGAUAUUUAACGUAUAUGCAACUAACUGUCAUGAUUGUGGGCUAUGCUUGACUAGGGAGGCAAGUAACUAUCACAACAGGUUCUAGUUUAUGGUCACUAGUUGUUCAUGCCACCCCUUUCUCGUGUUACCAAUUAAUUCCGAUGCAUUACACCAGUUCUCAUUUGCAUUCCCUCUGAUCUCUCCCCUUUUUCUUUAGAAUGGAUGGAUGUCUGAAAUUGUGUAAUAUAGAUUUAAUUUUUCUUCAUCAGCAUUCACUUCACUCCACAUUAUUGCAGUACUCCUGCAGUUAUUUUCUUCGCUACCCAUAAUAUUUUCAAUAUGCAUGUUAAACCAUUUUAGCUACUUUUCAUCCUCUGCCUUAGGGGUCCAGCUUCCAUCACACAUGUACAAUGAUGCAAAUUCCAUGCUGGUUAACCUUUGAACACUGCCUUUACCUCAAAUUUAGUUUCAAAUGUACUCAACAUGCCAAAGCUAGACUACUCAAGAUUUCAUUGGCAUAGUAUUUCUUGUAGCACAUGGAAAUGGAUUAAAAGUAAUAGAUGCACAGCAGGAGAGUGGACAAUUUACAUGUGUGAAGGGGCUGAGGUACUCUUUGAAGCACAUCUGGGUGAUUAUUGGACUGCAUUGCCAAGGAUGUGUCUUGAGAAAGGGAAGAUCAGAUUGGAGAAAUUUAUUAGAGAUGCCACUCAGCGCUGUAGAGAAUUUGAUUACUGGAAAGGGGCCAGUGUGGACAGCUUUUAUUUUUAUCAUUUGUUUACAGCUCAGUACUUUCCUGUAGAUAUAUUAUGGUAGGUAUCUUGUAGCAAAUAUUAUAGAUAAUUAAGGUUGCAAGUGGUUUACAUUAUAACAGCUCUGUUUUUAUAUGCCAAUAACUUUCUGCAACUAUUCACCUUUUGGGCUAAAGUUUUCUGUGCUUAUGCCUGAUGAUUUAAAAAAAAAGUUUGAACAAAAUUGACAGUUCUGAGUUAUGGGACAGUAAAACACAUUUUUGCCAAUGGCUUUAAUCACUCUCUCCCCCAUCCCUGUCCGCACCCCAAAAAACACCCUAACUAUACUUCUCUUAUCAGGGUUAAUGCAAAAAUUGGGUAAAGUUUAACAUUUGGCAUACAUAGUUCUGAGUUUUGUGUAUUUGCUUAGCUCUGGAUAAAUGUUUAAAAUACAAAAAAAUGACUGAAAUAAAGAAUCACUACUGUGCAGGUCAGUGAGCAUCUGCUAAAUUUUUUAGCACAUUUUCAUUAACUACUCCCAUAUGUGACAGCACUGGACAUUCUCUCUGCUGGAACUCAUUAGAGAGUUCACGUAGGAGCAGGGGCUGCUGUUCUUAGUCUGCUGCUAACACUAUUAGUAUGGGAUAGAUUGUAAAUGCAUCAUUGAUACACAUAGCAAAAACUACAAAGUAUGUUCUCUCCACAAGUUUUACUGCACUCUGCAAUAUUCUGCAUACUGUAAUCUCUUACCAAAAAAAACUCAGAGACUACCUGACUGGGAGUCAGGACAGCUGGGAUCUAGUCCCAGUUCUGCCAUUAGCUCACUAUGUGAAGCUAGGCAAAUUGCCUCCUCUCUGUGUGCAUCUGCCAAAAGGGGAUAAUGAUCAUAGAAUAUCAGGGUUGGAAGGGACUUCAGGAGGUUAUCUAGUCCACUCCACUGCUCAAAGCAGGACCAACCCCCAACUGAUGUUUUAUCUGCCUUUGUAAAGCACUUUGGGAUCUAUGGCUGAAUACUAUAUACAUAUUAAGUAUUAUUCUACUGCACUAUAGCAAAGAUACGGCCAGUAUAAAAUAAACAGUUGCUGUGUGACUGCUGUGUUAGGUUUCUGCAAGAAGGCGUUAUCUUCAGCUAAAUGAUAGCCUGAUUCUACUAAGCUGGGAGGGGAGACCCAGAGUGUGGGGGGAUUGCUGUGGGCCAGGAUUGACACGGGGCCAGAGGUGGUGGAGCCAACAGGGCAGGUAACUGAGGGAGAGAAACUGGCCAGAGGAGGGUGCUCCUGAGCUGAAUGAGCUAAUGCCCAGACUGACCAGUAGGAGGUGCCGUGCCAGUGAGUUGGUACUCUGCUACAUAUGGUGGAGAAUGUGGGCAUUUACGGUCCACUCUGAUAAAAGGGGAACUGAGGCCUGGACAAGGUGUGCCAAUAUAGGGGAAGGGGAUGAUGGAUCCCACCUACUUAGAGGUGUUUUUUUUUUUUUGUUUUGUUUUUUGCAGAGGGCUCUUAUGCCAUCCCUGGCUAGACUCCAGCAUCAGUGCCCCAGCGAAAGGAGAUUAGUCUCCCCGCUGCUCACCAGAGACUCUGCUACAGGCCCAGAACACUUCCUGCCAGGCUACGGUGCUCCACAGGGAGAGAAGAUCAGAAGCGCCUAGGAGAUACAAUGAAAUUCCAGGCUCUCAAGGGACCUGAAGCUGACUGUUCAUAUUUCAAUUGACAAAUGGACCAUUGUGAAUUCUGAAGUAGCAAAUGUAAAAUAAUACAUUUAAUAUACAAAUCAGCCUAUUUUAUAGAAGAUUUAGGAAUUGUUAAUUUUCAUGUAAUAUAAAAAGUACUUAUAUUUAUAUAUAGUACGUUUUAUUCUGAAGAAUCCCAAAGUGCUUUACACUAUACAAAAAUUACUUCACCGCUAAAUUGGAGUGUAACUGCACAUUGCAGUUUAGGACAGGAUGUGAAUAAUAAUAUUAUAUCCAAUUAAAACUGCAGGGGGAACUGUAUGUAGGCAGAGCUGUUACCAGAUUUAGGACUCAGCCUGGCCUUGGCCUAGGGUUAGCACUUGUACUCUUGUAAACAAAUCUUAAAUAUCUCAGUGUAAAGUCUCAUUUGUAGAAUUUCAUCUCUAGUAGUAGCUCCACUAAGAUUAUUCUGAAAAUAAAUAUAUGACUCAUUCUUAACUUGAGCUGCACAAUACCGAUAACUUCAGUGGGAGUCUAGAGUAUUCUGCCCUCUUCUUGUAGUGUAUCAAAAGAAUUGACUAUUAUAUUUUGUGAUCUAUAAAAAGGGCAUGGCUUUCAGCAGUCAAAUAAAAAAAAAAUGUGAGCCAGGGCAAAUGAGACUCAAAGAAUUUAAACCAGAUCAUGUUGUUGUAUUGGCUUAUAUGACUGCUUUAUCAUUUUGUCCGGCAAUUGUACAUACACAUUAUCUGUAUGAUGCUGACAUAGCGAAUCAUUUGUUUCUAAACACAAAACUGAAAAAAAAAUGUUUUACUACUCUGGAUUUAUCCAAUUACCACUUGUGUGUCUUUAUUAUAUAAAUAUACUUAGAAAGUGAAAACU